RNAcentral lists this long non-coding RNA (249 nucleotides) under Sorghum bicolor (sorghum). Its description in RNAcentral is "long non-coding RNA (SBIC_LNC009526)". The record is from RNAcentral. Lineage: Eukaryota; Viridiplantae; Streptophyta; Magnoliopsida; Poales; Poaceae.
CUGCAUGUAUACAUAUAUCUUUAUUGUAGAUUGAUAUAUCAACCUUAAGAUGUGACACUGCAUGUAUAAAUAAACCAGACCGAACAAGGUAUUACGCAUACCUGAGCACAUACAACCAAUACUGAUCUUCCCCACUUUCCAGUGUCGUACUGUCACACCUCAAAAAUUUUGAUUUUGGGUUGUGCAUAGAAAAUACUAAGUAAAAUAAAUGAUUUCAAUAUUAAUAUAAUAUUCUCCAAUGUUACUUUA